RNAcentral lists this ribosomal RNA (329 nucleotides) under uncultured eukaryote. RNAcentral's name for it is "partial 18S ribosomal RNA". It matches the Rfam family "Eukaryotic small subunit ribosomal RNA", at positions 1470 to 1796 of the family's 1831-position model. The record is from RNAcentral.
CCCUUAGAUGUCCUGGGCCGCACGCGCGCUACACUGAGUGUCUGAGAUACGAGUCUGCCUGGUCCGGCAAGGUCUAGGUAAUCGCUAAAAGACACAUCAUGCUUGGGAUAGAUUAUUGCAAAUAUUAAUCUUGAACGAGGAAUUCCUAGUAAGCGCAAGACAACAGCUUGCGUUGAUUACGUCCCUGCCCUUUGUACACACCGCCCGUCGCUACUACUGAUUGGAUGUUUAAGCGAGGUUCUCGAACUGCUAGCGACUUAGCUUCGGUGAGGUCGCAGUGUGGGAAGUGAACCUAGCUUUGGUGUCUAGAGGAAGUAAAAGUCGUAACA